Molecule: ribosomal RNA, 490 nt
Filed under: uncultured bacterium
Lineage: Bacteria
Description: partial 16S ribosomal RNA
Rfam family: Bacterial small subunit ribosomal RNA
Source: RNAcentral
GAUGAACGCUAGCGAUAGGCUUAACACAUGCAAGUCGAGGGGCAGCAUGGUCUUAGCUUGCUAAGACUGAUGGCGACCGGCGCACGGGUGCGUAACGCGUAUGCAACUUGCCUCACAGAGGGGGAUAACCCGUCGAAAGACGGACUAAUACCGCGUACACUCCAUCUUGGGCAUCCAAGGUAGAGGAAAUGAAAUUCGCUGUGAGAUGGGCAUGCGUCCCAUUAGCUAGUUGGUGAGGUAACGGCUCACCAAGGCGACGAUGGGUAGGGGAACUGAGAGGUUGAACCCCCACACUGGUACUGAGACACGGACCAGACUCCUACGGGAGGCAGCAGUGAGGAAUAUUGGUCAAUGGGCGAGAGCCUGAACCAGCCAAGUCGCGUGAAGGAUGACUGUCUUAUGGAUUGUAAACUUCUUUUAUACGGGAAUAACAAGAGUCACGUGUGACUCCCUGCAUGUACCGUAUGAAUAAGCAUCGGCUAACUCCGUG